Long non-coding RNA from Anarrhichthys ocellatus (wolf-eel), 250 nucleotides. RefSeq lists it as uncharacterized. The record is from RefSeq and is a predicted model, not a curated record. Lineage: Eukaryota; Metazoa; Chordata; Actinopteri; Perciformes; Anarhichadidae. The transcript is spliced from 3 exons.
CACUGAUGUAAAGCAUGUAGGGGUGUGUCGCAUCAUCAUGUUUUUGAGUUCAUCACCUGUACUGCAGCUCAUCAUCCAUUAACAUCACAGAACAGCGAUGGCAGCAGCAGCCUUGUCAAGCAGCAGAGGAGUGGCUGGUGGCCUGUACAUCCUCUUCACUCUGCUGUGUCUGGUUUGCCUCGCAAGUUCAUGGAUACACGACGAGAAACUGAAAGAUCUCAAAGAAGACAAUCAGAAAAUACAACAAAAC